Molecule: microRNA precursor, 207 nt
Filed under: Oryza punctata
Lineage: Eukaryota; Viridiplantae; Streptophyta; Magnoliopsida; Poales; Poaceae
Description: MIR812 microRNA precursor family
Rfam family: MIR812 microRNA precursor family
Source: Rfam by way of RNAcentral
ACUACCUCCAUCCCAAAAUACUUGUUUGUAACAUUUGAUCAUUCGUCUUAUUCAAAAAAUUAUAGAAUUAUUAUUUAUUUUGUUUAUGACUUGCUUUAUUAUCAAAAGUAUUUUAAGCAUGACUUAUACUUUUUUAUAUUUACACUAAUUUUUCAAAUAAAACGAAUGGUCAAACGUUACAAGCAAAAAGUCAAAGUGACUACUAAU